Molecule: ribosomal RNA, 333 nt
Filed under: Triticum aestivum (bread wheat)
Lineage: Eukaryota; Viridiplantae; Streptophyta; Magnoliopsida; Poales; Poaceae
Description: partial small subunit ribosomal RNA
Source: RNAcentral
AUGGGUGGCUUUGUUUGGUGCCUUCAGGUUUGGAUGUGGGAGCGGAUGCCCGUUGGACGCCCCGAGAAAAACAAGACACCUCUUGAAGGAUGGGUCGCACAUGACGGGAGGUAUGGAGAAGAUCCUUGGCGGUUUCCGACCGUCGCCUACUGUUGGGAGAUGGCGAAUGUGUACACAGGCAGCUCAGUUGCGCGAUACAAAUGCUACAUCAACGAGCUGGAUAUGUUGACUCAUAAGCAGGUCGAUUGGGAACCAUAUGAUGCCGAUUAUGCUUUCCGGCUGAACGAGAUGUGCACAUGUGACAGGAAUAUUUGCGGGCGAGAUGCCCACUGA